This 2932-nucleotide ribosomal RNA is filed under the name Bacillus anthracis (anthrax bacterium). RNAcentral's name for it is "bacterial LSU rRNA". It matches the Rfam family "Bacterial large subunit ribosomal RNA". Lineage: Bacteria; Bacillati; Bacillota; Bacilli; Caryophanales; Bacillaceae. The record is from RNAcentral.
UUUGGUUAAGUUAGAAAGGGCGCACGGUGGAUGCCUUGACACUAGGAGUCGAUGAAGGACGGGACUAACGCCGAUAUGCUUCGGGGAGCUGUAAGUAAGCUUUGAUCCGAAGAUUUCCGAAUGGGGAAACCCACCAUACGUAAUGGUAUGGUAUCCUUAUCUGAAUACAUAGGGUAAGGAAGACAGACCCAGGGAACUGAAACAUCUAAGUACCUGGAGGAAGAGAAAGCAAAUGCGAUUUCCUGAGUAGCGGCGAGCGAAACGGAACAUAGCCCAAACCAAGAGGCUUGCCUCUUGGGGUUGUAGGACAUUCUAUACGGAGUUACAAAGGAACGAGGUAGACGAAGCGACCUGGAAAGGUCCGUCGUAGAGGGUAACAACCCCGUAGUCGAAACUUCGUUCUCUCUUGAAUGUAUCCUGAGUACGGCGGAACACGUGAAAUUCCGUCGGAAUCUGGGAGGACCAUCUCCCAAGGCUAAAUACUCCCUAGUGAUCGAUAGUGAACCAGUACCGUGAGGGAAAGGUGAAAAGCACCCCGGAAGGGGAGUGAAAGAGAUCCUGAAACCGUGUGCCUACAAAUAGUCAGAGCCCGUUAACGGGUGAUGGCGUGCCUUUUGUAGAAUGAACCGGCGAGUUACGAUCCCGUGCGAGGUUAAGCUGAAGAGGCGGAGCCGCAGCGAAAGCGAGUCUGAAUAGGGCGUUUAGUACGUGGUCGUAGACCCGAAACCAGGUGAUCUACCCAUGUCCAGGGUGAAGUUCAGGUAACACUGAAUGGAGGCCCGAACCCACGCACGUUGAAAAGUGCGGGGAUGAGGUGUGGGUAGCGGAGAAAUUCCAAUCGAACCUGGAGAUAGCUGGUUCUCCCCGAAAUAGCUUUAGGGCUAGCCUUAAGUGUAAGAGUCUUGGAGGUAGAGCACUGAUUGGACUAGGGGUCCUCAUCGGAUUACCGAAUUCAGUCAAACUCCGAAUGCCAAUGACUUAUCCUUAGGAGUCAGACUGCGAGUGAUAAGAUCCGUAGUCAAAAGGGAAACAGCCCAGACCGCCAGCUAAGGUCCCAAAGUGUGUAUUAAGUGGAAAAGGAUGUGGAGUUGCUUAGACAACUAGGAUGUUGGCUUAGAAGCAGCCACCAUUUAAAGAGUGCGUAAUAGCUCACUAGUCGAGUGACUCUGCGCCGAAAAUGUACCGGGGCUAAAUACACCACCGAAGCUGCGGAUUGAUACCAAUGGUAUCAGUGGUAGGGGAGCGUUCUAAGGACAGUGAAGUCAGACCGGAAGGACUGGUGGAGUGCUUAGAAGUGAGAAUGCCGGUAUGAGUAGCGAAAGACGGGUGAGAAUCCCGUCCACCGAAUGCCUAAGGUUUCCUGAGGAAGGCUCGUCCGCUCAGGGUUAGUCAGGACCUAAGCCGAGGCCGACAGGCGUAGGCGAUGGACAACAGGUUGAUAUUCCUGUACCACCUCUUUAUCGUUUGAGCAAUGGAGGGACGCAGAAGGAUAGAAGAAGCGUGCGAUUGGUUGUGCACGUCCAAGCAGUUAGGCUGAUAAGUAGGCAAAUCCGCUUAUCGUGAAGGCUGAGCUGUGAUGGGGAAGCUCCUUAUGGAGCGAAGUCUUUGAUUCCCCGCUGCCAAGAAAAGCUUCUAGCGAGAUAAAAGGUGCCUGUACCGCAAACCGACACAGGUAGGCGAGGAGAGAAUCCUAAGGUGUGCGAGAGAACUCUGGUUAAGGAACUCGGCAAAAUGACCCCGUAACUUCGGGAGAAGGGGUGCUUUCUUAACGGAAAGCCGCAGUGAAUAGGCCCAAGCGACUGUUUAGCAAAAACACAGCUCUCUGCGAAGCCGUAAGGCGAAGUAUAGGGGGUGACACCUGCCCGGUGCUGGAAGGUUAAGGAGAGGGGUUAGCGUAAGCGAAGCUCUGAACUGAAGCCCCAGUAAACGGCGGCCGUAACUAUAACGGUCCUAAGGUAGCGAAAUUCCUUGUCGGGUAAGUUCCGACCCGCACGAAAGGUGUAACGAUUUGGGCACUGUCUCAACCAGAGACUCGGUGAAAUUAUAGUACCUGUGAAGAUGCAGGUUACCCGCGACAGGACGGAAAGACCCCGUGGAGCUUUACUGUAGCCUGAUAUUGAAUUUUGGUACAGUUUGUACAGGAUAGGCGGGAGCCUUUGAAACCGGAGCGCUAGCUUCGGUGGAGGCGCUGGUGGGAUACCGCCCUGACUGUAUUGAAAUUCUAACCUACGGGUCUUAUCGACCCGGGAGACAGUGUCAGGUGGGCAGUUUGACUGGGGCGGUCGCCUCCUAAAGUGUAACGGAGGCGCCCAAAGGUUCCCUCAGAAUGGUUGGAAAUCAUUCGUAGAGUGCAAAGGCAUAAGGGAGCUUGACUGCGAGACCUACAAGUCGAGCAGGGACGAAAGUCGGGCUUAGUGAUCCGGUGGUUCCGCAUGGAAGGGCCAUCGCUCAACGGAUAAAAGCUACCCCGGGGAUAACAGGCUUAUCUCCCCCAAGAGUCCACAUCGACGGGGAGGUUUGGCACCUCGAUGUCGGCUCAUCGCAUCCUGGGGCUGUAGUCGGUCCCAAGGGUUGGGCUGUUCGCCCAUUAAAGCGGUACGCGAGCUGGGUUCAGAACGUCGUGAGACAGUUCGGUCCCUAUCCGUCGUGGGCGUAGGAAAUUUGAGAGGAGCUGUCCUUAGUACGAGAGGACCGGGAUGGACGCACCGCUGGUGUACCAGUUGUUCUGCCAAGGGCAUAGCUGGGUAGCUAUGUGCGGAAGGGAUAAGUGCUGAAAGCAUCUAAGCAUGAAGCCCCCCUCAAGAUGAGAUUUCCCAUAGCGUAAGCUAGUAAGAUCCCUGAAAGAUGAUCAGGUUGAUAGGUUCGAGGUGGAAGCAUGGUGACAUGUGGAGCUGACGAAUACUAAUAGAUCGAGGACUUAACCAUAUAAUAC